Long non-coding RNA from Stegostoma tigrinum, 643 nucleotides. RefSeq lists it as uncharacterized. The record is from RefSeq and is a predicted model, not a curated record. The transcript has 3 exons. NCBI's taxonomy places the organism in Eukaryota, Metazoa, Chordata, Chondrichthyes, Orectolobiformes, Stegostomatidae.
AAGAAUAUGACACCUAGCUUGCUCUAGAGAGAUUUUCCACGAGUUUAAUGUUGCUGUUGGGUGGAGAGUGGACAAGAAGGAUUCUACGACGCAUCCUCUGCGGUUCACAACUGUUCUUCCUCAAGAGGCUUGCCACAAGGUGCUGCUAGAGAAGAGUGUGGAAGAGAGCAUAACUGGGGUGGAAGGAAUCCUUGUCUAUGUUGGUUGCUUUCACGAAGCAGCAGCAAGUGUAGACAGAGUCAAUGGAAGCUCAUCAGAAUGGAGUCGGAACCUGGAAAAGCAAGUUCCAACCCUAAAUGGAAAAUUCUGCCCCUACAUUUAAUCUUGAUGAAAUGGAUCUCAAUUCUUGGAGUCUAGAAGAGCAAGGAAUUAAGUGAUUGAAGUAUAAAAGGUCCCGAACAGUCUUGACAAGGGGAGGUACUAAUGUGGUGGUAGGGUCGUUGAACUAGUAACUUAGAACUUCAGCCUGAAGUUCUCCGGACGUGGCAGAUGGUGAAAUUUGAAUCGAACAGUAGACUGCAAGUAAAUGUUAGUUUAAUUGCAACUAAUCAAUUGCAAUAAAAACCCCAUCUGAUCUGCUCGACCUUUAGGGAAACAAAUCCGCCAUUCUUACCUGGUCUGGCCAACACAAUUCCACACCCAG